Molecule: long non-coding RNA, 1224 nt
Organism: Panicum virgatum (switchgrass)
Lineage: Eukaryota; Viridiplantae; Streptophyta; Magnoliopsida; Poales; Poaceae
Exons: 2
Source: RefSeq, a predicted model, not a curated record
UUCCAUUAACUCAAUGAUUCAGCGGAGUCGCUGAUCACCAGGUCCUCAACCGGCAUCGGCGUACCCUCCCAAAGGAGGCUGGUGCUCUGAGGACACUUACAUCCAAGCGCCGACACAGCGUGCGCGACCCUAUUGGACAGUACCUAACAGAGGAAUCAAUAAAAGAAGACCUGAUCAUGGACUUUAGGGCAAGUACAACGGAUCGACGAGGUCGUCGAUUUGCGUCGGGAGGAGCAAAAUACGUCUUCGCCGAGCGCCUUCAAGACGGAGAGAGAGAGCAGCCGGCGCUUCCCUCGUCUACGGCUUCUUCCCCGUUCCCCCAGGAUGUCGACGGCUCCCAGCACCGUUGUAGGACGCGCCGUUGCUCGAGGCCGGCGGCGGGAUCCGGUGCGCGCGCGCGGAUCCGUUUGGUGGCAAAGCUUCGCGCCUUUCCCCCCAAGUCCAACUCCAUAUACCCCACCCCCGUCCUCAAUCCCGCCCCCAAAUCCUAGUUGUUGACGGCGAGAUGUUGCGGCCACAGAAGGAUGCGGCGGCGGCGACUUGUGAGCUGCUCAAGGCAGAUGAAACCCGGAUGCGGAAAGCGGCUCAAGCAUCCUGGCGGAAGGGGACCUCAUCGACAUCAGCGUGGAAGGAACCGGCGGCACAGAUUCGGAAGGCUCAUGCGGGAGCUGCGGCGGCGCGGGUCCAGGGCGAUCUGCCGCAGAGCAGAGGAGUUUGCCGCCGGAGCAAAACGGCAUGGGUGGAUUUGGCGGAGCUACCUCACCAGCCUCCUUCACCGACGGAACCUGCUUCUUCAACGGCAGCUUGUUCGGCGGCGCUUCACAAAGCCCCAUGGCUCAAGCAUGGAUGCACUUUCAAGUUUCAGAUUCUGGAUCAUGGAAGUCAAAUCUGCCUGAACAAGUUGAUGCCCUGGAAGUGAAAUGUGCCCAGGUUGGAGGCUAAAUAUUUCAAGUGACUGAACUGUGUCAUUUAGGUUGUCUGAAAUGUCCUAGGUUGGAGGCUAAAUAUUUCAAGUGACUGAAAUGUGCCCUGGAAGUGAAAUGUGCCCAGGUUGAUGCAACUCAAGAAUGAUUUAGUUGAGCACAUAUGGCAUCGUUAUGGGCAAAGGAACAAUUAGAGCAACAUGUGUAAUCAAAUAGUGACUUUGUUAUUAUAUGAUGCCAUGUAUUCCUAAGAACCUUUUUCAUAUGAAUAUAUAUAUAUAUAUUAUACAUGCUUAUUUUA